CGAAUCGCGCGCGCCGAAACACCGCCCCGCGCAGCAGCAGGCGGGCUACGAAAGGUGCGUGGAGUUCUUUACUUAGAGCCGGUGCUCCCCGUGAGGAAGGCGGGCGGGAGAAGGAGAGAAACGCUAUUCCCCAAAGUCUACUGCGCAAGGAGCGCGCUCCGUAACGCCUUCGGCUCGGCAGGCAAAACCUGGGUCGGGGCGCACGUUACGUAAGCGGACGGCGUACGCAAGAUGGUGUGUUAUACUGGUUUAUCUAAGGCAGUCUAUUAUCAUCUCUCUCCUUAUGGCAAAAUUUACAUGGAUGUGAGCAGUAUUAAAAAGUAAUCAUUUAUGAGUUCUCUACUCAAGCACAGCUAAUGGAGCUGCCUUCGCAUAGGAUGUACAUUUCUGUUCCCAAGGGGUGAGGCACCGCAGAAUUUCCCUCUCCCGCCGAGCACCGUAAUUCCCCACGAAAAUUACAACAAUAACGAAACCCCAGCUCGUGCCCGGGCAGCUCCGGGAGCGGGGUGCCACUCACGCAUCUUCCUAAACAAGGCACACGGCGUUUUUGGAUUGGAUGCCCAAAACCCGUCAGAGAGCUGGAAGAGAAGUGACUUGCCUGAAGUCACAGGACAAGAAAAUGAGGCUGAGUCACACACAUGACUUAAUCUGCCAUUUUAAAAGGAUGGAAAAGGUGCUUUUUAGUAUAUGAAUACUUUAAGACAUCUGCAGUCUUCUUGGAGGGAGUAUGUGGAAAGCAAUUACCCGUUUUAGCUUGCCUCUGGUAGCACAGUCAGUACGGGACUGCAUGUCAAGGAGACAUCCGCGGAUUCCUGUGAGCAGGAGGAGUUCCUGGCCACCCCUUGUGUGGGUUUGAAAUGGCAGAAGGGAUGGGAGCAACAUUCUCAGCCUGUUUCAAGGUGUUUGUGAAAACUUACCCACCCUUUGUCUGUGGGAGGUUCAGGGCACUUUUUCCAAGCUGUUUCUUAGCCAAGUCAGGAAACCAAGCAACAAACCCCACAGCCCUCAGCCAUCAUCAGCACACCACAGGAGUGCUCGCAGGGUCCCCAUUUGAGACAUCAAGCAAUUUACAUGAGUACCAAAAGUCUAAUCCUGGGAGCCCUGAGGCUUUGUCUAUAUUGAGGAACCGGCUGGCACUGCUUUUGAAAACUGCAUUAUUCCACAAGAGCUAUUCCAGAAGAGCACUUAGGCAGGCAGCCCUUUAAAGGCGAAUUCCUUCACAAAGUAUGCUUUUAUUCCAGAACAGAAUGCACAUGCAGAGAGUGACCCUUCUGGUCUUACAGAGCACCUCUGCUACAGCUAAUGUCUCUGUAAACAACUUUCCCUUCAUAAUUUUUUUAGUUUGGAAAAUAGUUCCCAGAAAGGUCAAUGAACGCACAGAAUCUGAAGAUUAUUUCCCACUCCAAAGUGCUACUUUGGGCAAUAAAUUCCAUUCUACAGCUUCAAAA
Pseudopipra pipra is the source of this 1448-nucleotide long non-coding RNA. RefSeq lists it as uncharacterized. The record is from RefSeq and is a predicted model, not a curated record. NCBI's taxonomy places the organism in Eukaryota, Metazoa, Chordata, Aves, Passeriformes, Pipridae. The transcript has 4 exons.